RNAcentral lists this long non-coding RNA (848 nucleotides) under Homo sapiens (human). Its description in RNAcentral is "long intergenic non-protein coding RNA 1091". The record is from RNAcentral. Lineage: Eukaryota; Metazoa; Chordata; Mammalia; Primates; Hominidae.
ACACAUCUACUGUGAAGUUGGUAGUGGCUCUGUGAUUCUCUUAUUUUGAAAAUUCACUGCCGGUGGUUGGACUGAGUCCCAUGAAGCCAGAUCACUUCUGACUGCAAGGAGCUUGGAAAAGCAAGUAUCUGGAUCUUUUACCAGCUAAAUUUGGAGCGAUGAGGCUUCCUCUUUGAAGAUCACAGGUGAGAAGAUUAGGUGCUUUCUCAGAAGCCCAGCAACCUGAUGGGAGUGUGGAGUGAGCAAGACCCAAAUCGGAGCUUCAUCCCUGCAUGGUUCAUUUUGCUUAUUUGGCAAACUUGCCCUGCAGAAUCUACUCAAGCUUCCUCAGUUUCUCAAAUCAUUCUUGGGCAACAAAUGAACAAGAAAGAGGACGUCUUAUUAUCUGGUGUCUGGCUUGCUGAUUUAAUAACCUAGGAGACAGUGUUUGAAGAACACAAACUCUAAAGUCCUUCACUUAAAAAAAAAAAAAAACUUUCCCAAAUUGCUUACCAUUUGGAAAAAUUGCCUUACCUUCUUCAGUCAUCUCUGAUGUUGUCAUCCUCAGAGUAAGAAGUACGCAUUCAUAAGGAACCAUAACGUCCUUCAGGAAAUCCAGUACACCCUACAAUUUUACCUAAAACUUUGAUGUUGUUUUUUCUGAGCAUUUUACCUUCUAGGGAAAUGGAUCUCAUGCUGUUUAUCAGUUUCUGAAAGUUGUUAUUAAUCUCCCCUCAUCCCAAAAUUGAAGAACUUUGCUUAAAUCUUAGAAUCAGAACUUUGGCUCCAGUAAUAAAGACUUUUCAAUAUCUUUAUCUGCCAUUGAGUCUUACCUAACGAAAUAAAGCCUCCAAAGUGGGAAUUUGAAA